UUCCCCCAACUGGUUUCUGAUCUUAGGAAGGGGACGGCUCCAGAAAUAGCCCUGUCCCUGGUUCUUCAAGCUAAGACAUGCCAACCUAAGGCCUCCUGCAUCCGGAAUGGGCACGGUUCCAGGGGAGGGAGGUGGUUUUCUACCUCUAUGCAGUGGGCGGUCUUGGCAGCGGGCAGGUGCAGCCAGCCUCCCUGGGAAAAAAAAAGUCUCAACUGUAGAAAUUGGAUGGCUCCCGAGAUGUGUUUUAAGUCACUGCAGUCGUUACACAAGAUCUUUCCUGAGCAUCUCAUUCGUUGUUAUCUAAAGAGCUGCCUUUCUCUCUUUACAACGUGUCUGCAUGGACUUGGGAGGAGUAAGAACGGGGAGAGAGAGUCUGGAUCAAGUCAAGACUGAAUCGUCAGGUCCUGGGAAGGUGCCACCACUUCUCAAGGAGUCCAGCUUGUUGCUUCCAAGUGAAGUCCCCUCCUUGGAGGAACAAGUGCUUUCAAGAAAGCUCACAGUGGGCCAUAGCCUGUCACCCACUUUCUGCUGCCACCCAGCCACGCAGCUCAAAGGGGUGCCAUUAUUCAGCACAGCUAUGUCAGCAGUGGGUGUGGGGCCUGAGCUGUGCCCCCUGCCCCUUCACCCCCCACACACACACACAAAGAAGUAGGUUGAAGCCCUAAGCCCUGGUGCCAGCGAAUGUGGCCUUAUUGGAAAUGUGAUCAAGUUCAGACCCAUCCAACGGUGUCAGAUGAGCCCUGGGUCCAUGAGCUGUGUCCUUGGGAGAAGAUGCAGAUGGGGCUCUGACAGCCCAGGAAGACAAGGCUGGUAGGCAGCCACCAGAAACCAGGGAGAGGCCAGCAAGGAGCUUCCUCCAAAACCCCAAGAAGGAACCAGUGGGGUGGACACCUCGAUUUCAGACUUCUGGCAUCCACAAGUGUGGGGCACUAAUUCUGUUGUUGCUGUUGUUGUUGUUUUAUGGCCACACCUGUGAGAUAUGCAAGUUCCCCAGCCAGGGAUUGAAUUUGAGCUGCAGCUGUGACCUGCAGCACAGCCAGAUCCCUUAAACCACUGAGCCGGGCUGGGGAUCAAACCUGAGCCUCGGCAGCAACCUGGAGCUACUGUAGUUGGAUCCAUUCCUUUCCUUUCCUUUGUCUUUUGAGGGCCACACCCCCGGCAUAUGGAAGUUCCCAGGCUAGAAGUUGAAUCAGAGCUGCAGCUGCCAGUCUACGCCACAGCCACAGCAACUCAGGAUCUGAAAUGUGUCUUUGACCUACACCACGGCUCACCGCAACGCUGGAUCCUUAACCCACUGAGCGGGGCCAGCAUCCUCAUGGAUACCAGUUGAGUGCAUAACCACCUAGCAAUAGGGGGAACUCCGUGCCAUUGGAUUCUUAAUCACUGCACUGCAGCAAGAACUCCUAAUUUCUGUUGCUUUAAACCACCCGGUCUGCAGUGCUUUGGGACAGCAGCCAUUGAACACAAAUGCCCUGAGUGAGACCCUGAAAGGCCCCUUUUGAUCACUUGCAUAUGCAAAAGCAGCCGCCUGGCUGGUCUGCGUCCUUCUUUGCUAAUCUUUGCAUCUUUCAUCUCAUUUGAGCUUCAGAUCUGAGGAAGACCCAGCAAGGCCCUGUUGGGAUUGAACUGGCUCCGCAGGGAACAAAACGAGA
RNAcentral lists this long non-coding RNA (1652 nucleotides) under Sus scrofa (pig). Its description in RNAcentral is "lncRNA (ENSSSCG00055023157.1)". Lineage: Eukaryota; Metazoa; Chordata; Mammalia; Artiodactyla; Suidae. The record is from RNAcentral.